RNAcentral lists this non-coding RNA (27 nucleotides) under Mus musculus (house mouse). The record is from RNAcentral. Lineage: Eukaryota; Metazoa; Chordata; Mammalia; Rodentia; Muridae.
UAAGAAAGGCCACAGAUCCUGAAGUUC